This is a long non-coding RNA of Onychostoma macrolepis, 378 nucleotides long. RefSeq lists it as uncharacterized. The record is from RefSeq and is a predicted model, not a curated record. Lineage: Eukaryota; Metazoa; Chordata; Actinopteri; Cypriniformes; Cyprinidae. The transcript is spliced from 3 exons.
CUAAAAGUCACUAGAUGACAUCAUAAUGGUAAAUUCACUGAUCUAUAUAAAGAUGAAUAUAGAUCAGUCGGCAAGAUGAGAACUGGGAUAAGGUGCCCUGACCUAGUUGUGAGAUGCCUCAUGGAAUCACGGGUCAUUUUAUCACUCGUUUUUCAUCACCACUGUCAGGUCUCACCGGGAAAGAGAACAGCUUGACCAUUGUCCUUGACUUCAAAGAGGAAGGAUAUCCUGGUUACCAGCUUGCAGGCCUACUGUUACCACCAGAGAUCUCCUGCACUGCUGCGUGUGCUGGCUCGCUCUCGCCCCUGCAACCGCAGCAUCUCCAGCACGCUUCUAGCGUAGGCGUCCCGCAGGUUCACCCCUAUCGCCGACAUAUCC